UUCAGCGGCGGACGGGUGAGUAAUACCUAGGAAUCUGCCUGGUAGUGGGGGACAACGUUUCGAAAGGAACGCUAAUACCGCAUACGUCCUACGGGAGAAAGCAGGGGACCUUCGGGCCUUGCGCUAUCAGAUGAGCCUAGGUCGGAUUAGCUAGUUGGUGAGGUAAUGGCUCACCAAGGCUACGAUCCGUAACUGGUCUGAGAGGAUGAUCAGUCACACUGGAACUGAGACACGGUCCAGACUCCUACGGGAGGCAGCAGUGGGGAAUAUUGGACAAUGGGCGAAAGCCUGAUCCAGCCAUGCCGCGUGUGUGAAGAAGGUCUUCGGAUUGUAAAGCACUUUAAGUUGGGAGGAAGGGCAGUAAGCGAAUACCUUGCUGUUUUGACGUUACCGACAGAAUAAGCACCGGCUAACUCUGUGCCAGCAGCCGCGGUAAUACAGAGGGUGCAAGCGUUAAUCGGAAUUACUGGGCGUAAAGCGCGCGUAGGUGGUUCGUUAA
This 499-nucleotide ribosomal RNA is filed under the name Pseudomonas putida. RNAcentral describes it as "bacterial SSU rRNA". It matches the Rfam family "Bacterial small subunit ribosomal RNA", at positions 91 to 586 of the family's 1533-position model. The record is from RNAcentral. Lineage: Bacteria; Pseudomonadati; Pseudomonadota; Gammaproteobacteria; Pseudomonadales; Pseudomonadaceae.